UUUCGCAAUGCCCGAAAGGGUGACGAGGCGACGCCGCGUGAGUGAGGAAGGCCUUCGGGUUGUAAAGCUCUGUCAGGAGUUAAGAAAUAUAAGUGUGCUAAUACCACAUUUAUUUGACAAAAGCUCCAAAGGAAGCCACGGCUAACUCUGUGCCAGCAGCCGCGGUAAUACAGAGGUGGCAAGCGUUGUUCGGAAUUAUUGGGCGUAAAGAGCACGUAGGUGGGUUUGUAAGUCAGAUGUGAAAGCCUUCUGUUCAACGGAAGAAUUGCAUCUGAAACUGCGAGUCUUGAGUGUAGGAGGGGAGAAUGGAACUUCUGGUGGAGCGGUGAAAUGCGUAGAUAUCAGAAGGAACGCCGGCGGCGAAAGCGAUUCUCUGGCCUAUUACUGACACUCAGUGUGCGAAAGCUAGGGGAGCAAACGGGAUUAGAUACCCCGGUAGUCCUAGCUGUAAACGAUGGGCACUAAGUAGAGGGGUUUUA
This 479-nucleotide ribosomal RNA is filed under the name uncultured anaerobic ammonium-oxidizing bacterium. RNAcentral's name for it is "bacterial SSU rRNA". It matches the Rfam family "Bacterial small subunit ribosomal RNA", at positions 364 to 833 of the family's 1533-position model. The record is from RNAcentral.